GCACCUUGGAUGCAGAGUGCUUUCCUUCCCCGGAACUUGAGGCACUUCACAGGCAUUUUCUUUCUGAACCUCACAACAUCUCCCUAAGAAACAAGAAUGCUUCUUACUGUUUUUGUUUGCUGAAAAUGGAGAUAAUUUAGGUGGGAGCCUCCCUGUUACUUUAUCAUGGCCUGAGAAGAUGUGUCAAAUAACUAGAAUUUAAAAGGUUAUUCAACUUAGAGGAGACCUUUGACCUAAACCCUUGACCUAAACUAGGCCAGUUGGAAUCUACUUACACUUUGAAUCUUGAAAAGAAAACACUCAAAUAAAAAAGAAAAUAAAGCUUUGUCAUUCUUUGGGAGCUUCCCAAGGAUUCUGAACAUGAAUUCUUGCC
Microcebus murinus (gray mouse lemur) is the source of this 373-nucleotide non-coding RNA. The record is from RefSeq and is a predicted model, not a curated record. Lineage: Eukaryota; Metazoa; Chordata; Mammalia; Primates; Cheirogaleidae.